AUGCUCAACCUCAACCAGCAAUCCGGCGCCGCCGGCUUCAACUCCAAGGAGCAGUUUCUCUACGGUGAGUCCAGCAUCCAGAUGAAGCUCAUCCCGGGAAACUCCGCCGGCACCGUCUCCUGCUUCUACCUUUCUUCCGGUGACGACGAGUGGCGCGACGAGAUCGACAUGGAGUUCAUGGGCAACUCGAGCGGCCACCCGGUGGUGCUCAACACCAACGUGUGGGCCAACGGCGACGACAAGAAGGAGCACCAGUUCGACCUCUGGUUCGACCCGGCCGCCGCCUACCACACCUACACCAUCAUCUGGAACCCGGAGAGCAUCCUCUUCAAGCCCAUGAGGCUGCACGCCACGCUCUGGGACGGCAGCUACUGGGCGACCGAGAAGGGAAAGAUCCCGAUCAACUGGUCCAACGCGCCCUUCGUCGUCUCCUACCGCAACUUCUACGCCAACGCCUGCGUCAGCGGUGGCGCGUGCCAUGCCGGCAGCGGCAGGUGGAUGAACAAGCAGCUCGACGGCGCUGAGUGGGGCACCGUCAAGUGGGCGGAGCACAGUUACAUGCGCUACAACUACUGCGACGAUGGGUACAGGUUCCCGCAGGGCCUCCCCGCCGAGUGCAGCCGCUACUGA
RNAcentral lists this ribosomal RNA (630 nucleotides) under Triticum aestivum (bread wheat). Its description in RNAcentral is "partial small subunit ribosomal RNA". Lineage: Eukaryota; Viridiplantae; Streptophyta; Magnoliopsida; Poales; Poaceae. The record is from RNAcentral.